GUCCAGACUCCUACGGGAGGCAGCAGUGGGGAAUAUUGCACAAUGGGGGAAACCCUGAUGCAGCGACGCCGCGUGAGCGAUGAAGUAUUUCGGUAUGUAAAGCUCUAUCAGCAGGGAAGAAGAUGACGGUACCUGACUAAGAAGCCCCGGCUAACUACGUGCCAGCAGCCGCGGUAAUACGUAGGGGGCAAGCGUUAUCCGGAUUUACUGGGUGUAAAGGGAGCGUAGACGGCGAUGCAAGCCAGAUGUGAAAGCCCGGGGCUCAACCCCGGGACUGCAUUUGGAACUGUGUGGCUGGAGUGUCGGAGAGGCAGGCGGAAUUCCUAGUGUAGCGGUGAAAUGCGUAGAUAUUAGGAGGAACACCAGUGGCGAAGGCGGCCUGCUGGACGAUGACUGACGUUGAGGCUCGAAAGCGUGGGGAGCAAACAGGAUUAGAUACCCCGGUAC
Molecule: ribosomal RNA, 447 nt
Filed under: uncultured bacterium
Lineage: Bacteria
Description: bacterial SSU rRNA
Rfam family: Bacterial small subunit ribosomal RNA
Source: RNAcentral